GACGAACGCUGGCGGCGUGCUUAACACAUGCAAGUCGAACGGUGAAGCGCCUUCCUUUUUGGUGGGUGUGGAUGAGUGGCGAACGGGUGAGUAACACGUGAGUAACCUGCCCCCUUCUUCUGGAUAACCGCAUGAAAGUGUGGCUAAUACGGGAUAUUCUGGGUCUGUCGCAUGAUGGGUCUGGGAAAGAUAUUGUUUCGGUGGGGGAUGGGCUCGCGGCCUAUCAGCUUGUUGGUGGGGUGAUGGCCUACCAAGGCGGUGACGGGUAGCCGGCCUGAGAGGGUGGACGGUCACACUGGGACUGAGACACGGCCGAGACUCCUACGGGAGGCAGCAGUGGGGAAUAGUGCACAAUGGGCGCAAGCCUGAUGCAGCGACGCCGCGUGAGGGAUGGAGGCCUGCGGGUUGUGAACCUCUUUCGCCAGUGAAGCAGGCCUGCCUCGUUUGUGGGUGGGUUGACGGUAGCUGGAUAAGAAGCGCCGGCUAACUACGUG
This 494-nucleotide ribosomal RNA is filed under the name uncultured bacterium. RNAcentral describes it as "partial 16S ribosomal RNA". It matches the Rfam family "Bacterial small subunit ribosomal RNA", at positions 28 to 507 of the family's 1533-position model. The record is from RNAcentral.